Molecule: ribosomal RNA, 234 nt
Filed under: uncultured bacterium
Lineage: Bacteria
Description: partial 16S ribosomal RNA
Rfam family: Bacterial small subunit ribosomal RNA
Source: RNAcentral
GAUCAUGGCUCAGGACGAACGCUGGCGGCGCGCCUAACACAUGCAAGUCGAACGAGCAAAGAGGAGCUUGCUUCUCUGAGCGAGUGGCGAACGGGUGAGUAACGCGUGAGGAACCUGCCUCAAAGAGGGGGACAACAGUUGGAAACGACUGCUAAUACCGCAUAAGCCCACGGGUCGGCAUCGACCAGAGGGAAAAGGAGCAAUCCGCUUUGAGAUGGCCUCGCGUCCGAUUAG